GAGAUGCAGAUAUUAAAGGCGGUAACGCAUGCGAACUUGGAGAAGUUGUUGAGUGUCCCGGGAAGAGUUACAUCUUUUCUUAACUGUCUAAAGCCCUUGAGUGAGCUUGCUCAGGGAAAGGGUCAUUGGCAGGUUAGAGCUCGAUCUCUGAUUGAGUCCGGUUUACGUUCAAUGGCCCGAGAAAAUCCAAGGGAGAGAAAAAUAUUUGUGCUC
This 213-nucleotide non-coding RNA is filed under the name Trametes pubescens. RNAcentral's name for it is "Eukaryotic large subunit ribosomal RNA". It matches the Rfam family "Eukaryotic large subunit ribosomal RNA", at positions 1626 to 1839 of the family's 3401-position model. The record is from Rfam by way of RNAcentral. Lineage: Eukaryota; Fungi; Basidiomycota; Agaricomycetes; Polyporales; Polyporaceae.